Long non-coding RNA from Exaiptasia diaphana, 533 nucleotides. RefSeq lists it as uncharacterized. Lineage: Eukaryota; Metazoa; Cnidaria; Anthozoa; Actiniaria; Aiptasiidae. The transcript has 2 exons. The record is from RefSeq and is a predicted model, not a curated record.
GGGUCAUUUUUGUGCCUACUACGAAGUAGUAGACACUUUGUUAUCGUGUCUAAUGCAAAUGAGUAAGUAACAAUAGAAUGACGUCAAAAUUMAAUCAAUACCCCUUCGGAAGACCCAUAAACACAGGAAGCCCUCGGAAGUGAUCGGCAGAACAUAUAACUUAGUGCGAUGACCGCCGAAAAUUCAAUCAUCUCUGCGGUUUUACGAACAAGUUCGUGAAAAUUUCUCGUCGUAUUCACUGCCGUAAAAGUUUGCGAGAAGAAAUUGCUCCUAACAGUCAGAUAAAGCUCAACCAAACACUGGUUCUGAAACUUCACGCAUGAACAAACAAAACAGAAACAAAACUCUAAUGAAUGUAUUCUAUUAAAGAAACAAGAUCAAACAAUGCCUAGUUAGAACUUCCAUUGUCCAAAAUGGUGACUUAAACUAUUAUUUAGAUUUUAUUUCAUAGAGAUAUUGUUCGCACUUUAUUACUUUGUAUCCAAUAAAAAGUGCCUUUUAAAGUCCCUAUUAAUAAAAAUACCUAGUAACGA